GCGCCGAUCGGAUAGCGGCUAUUCCAGGAGACUGUAAAUCUCCCGCCCACUGGGCAUCGGGGGUUCGAGUCCCUCUCGGCGCA
This 83-nucleotide transfer RNA is filed under the name bacterium. RNAcentral's name for it is "tRNA-Tyr". It matches the Rfam family "tRNA". From Rfam's summary of the family: Transfer RNA (tRNA) molecules are approximately 80 nucleotides in length. Their secondary structure includes four short double-helical elements and three loops (D, anti-codon, and T loops). RNAcentral also lists the same sequence under 1 other name. The record is from RNAcentral.